GACGAACGCUGGCGGCGUGCUUAACACAUGCAAGUCGAACGGUACGGCCCUGCUUUUGUGGUGUGCUCGAGUGGCGAACGGGUGAGUAACCCGUGAGUUACCUGGCCUUUACUUUGGGAUAACUUCAGGAAACUGGGGCUAAUACCGGAUCUGAGCUCCUGCUGCAUGUUGUGGGUUGGAAAGUUUCGGCGGUUGGGGAUGGACUCGCGGCUUAUCAGCUUGUUGGUGGGGUAGUGGCUUACCAAGGCUUUGACGGGUAGCCGGCCUGAGCGGGUCACCGGCCACAUUGGGACUGAGAUACGGCCCAGACGCCUACGGGAGGCAGCAGUGGGGAAUAUGGCAGAAUGGGCGGAAGCCUGAUGCAGCAACGCCGCGUGCGUGAUGACGGCCUGCGGGUUGUAAACCGCUUUCGCCUGUGACGAAGCGUGAGUGACGGUAAUGGGUAAAGAAGCACCGGCUAACUACGUG
This 468-nucleotide ribosomal RNA is filed under the name uncultured bacterium. RNAcentral's name for it is "partial 16S ribosomal RNA". It matches the Rfam family "Bacterial small subunit ribosomal RNA", at positions 28 to 507 of the family's 1533-position model. The record is from RNAcentral.